This 253-nucleotide ribosomal RNA is filed under the name uncultured bacterium. Its description in RNAcentral is "partial 16S ribosomal RNA". It matches the Rfam family "Bacterial small subunit ribosomal RNA", at positions 524 to 776 of the family's 1533-position model. The record is from RNAcentral.
UACGAAGGGGGCUAGCGUUGUUCGGAUUUACUGGGCGUAAAGCGCGUGUAGGUGGCUUUAUAAGUCAGGGGUGAAAGCCCAGAGCUUAACUCUGGAAUUGCCUUUGAUACUGUAGAGCUAGAGUCUUGGAGAGGAAAGCAGAAUUCCGAGUGUAGAGGUGAAAUUCGUAGAUAUUCGGAGGAACACCGGUGGCGAAGGCGGCUUUCUGGACAAGCACUGACACUGAGACGCGAAAGCGUGGGGAGCAAACAGG